UGAGGAAUAUUGGUCAAUGGGCGAGAGCCUGAACCAGCCAAGUAGCGUGCAGGAUGACGGCCCUAUGGGUUGUAUACUGCUUUUAUGUGGGGAUAAAGUGCGUGACGUGUCAUGCAUUGCAGGUACCACAUGAAUAAGGACCGGCUAAUUCCGUGCCAGCAGCCGCGGUAAUACGGAAGGUCCGGGCGUUAUCCGGAUUUAUUGGGUUUAAAGGGAGCGUAGGCUGUCUAUUAAGCGUGUUGUGAAAUUUACCGGCUCAACCGGUGGCUUGCAGCGCGAACUGGUCGACUUGAGUAUGCAGGAAGUAGGCGGAAUUCAUGGUGUAGCGGUGAAAUGCUUAGAUAUCAUGACGAACUCCGAUUGCGCAGGCAGCUUACUGUAGCAUAACUGACGCUGAUGCUCGAAAGUGCGGGUAUCAAACAGG
This 424-nucleotide ribosomal RNA is filed under the name Fusobacteriota bacterium. RNAcentral describes it as "Fusobacteria bacterium partial 16S ribosomal RNA". It matches the Rfam family "Bacterial small subunit ribosomal RNA", at positions 355 to 776 of the family's 1533-position model. The record is from RNAcentral. Lineage: Bacteria; Fusobacteriati; Fusobacteriota.